UACAGAGGUCUCAAGCGUUGUUCGGAUUCAUUGGGCGUAAAGGGUGCGUAGGCGGCGUGGUAAGUCGGGUGUGAAAUCUUGGAGCUUAACUCCGAAACUGCAUUCGAUACUGCCGUGCUUGAGGACUGGAGAGGAGACUGGAAUUUACGGUGUAGCGGUGAAAUGCGUAGAUAUCGUAAGGAAGACCAGUGGCGAAGGCGGGUCUCUGGACAGUUCCUGACGCUGAGGCACGAAGGUCAGGGGAGCAAACGGG
This 253-nucleotide ribosomal RNA is filed under the name uncultured bacterium. Its description in RNAcentral is "partial 16S ribosomal RNA". It matches the Rfam family "Bacterial small subunit ribosomal RNA", at positions 524 to 776 of the family's 1533-position model. The record is from RNAcentral.